GUGGUAAUGCCGGAUGCUCCAGUUGAUCGCAUGGUCUUCUGGGAAAGCCUUUGCGGCAUGGGAUGGGGUCGCGUCCUAUCAGCUUGAUGGCGGGGUAACGGCCCACCAUGGCUUCGACGGGUAGCCGGCCUGAGAGGGCGACCGGCCACAUUGGGACUGAGAUACGGCCCAGACUCCUACGGGAGGCAGCAGUGGGGAAUAUUGCACAAUGGGCGCAAGCCUGAUGCAGCGACGCCGCGUGAGGGAUGGAGGCCUUCGGGUUGUAAACCUCUUUUGUUAGGGAGCAAGGCAUUUUGUGUUGAGUGUACCUUUCGAAUAAGCACCGGCUAACUACGUGCCAGCAGCCGCGGUAAUACGUAGGGUGCAAGCGUUAUCCGGAAUUAUUGGGCGUAAAGGGCUCGUAGGCGGUUCGUCGCGUCCGGUGUGAAAGUCCAUCGCUUAACGGUGGAUCCGCGCCGGGUACGGGCGGGCUUGAGUGCGGUAGGGGAGACUGGAAUUCCCGGUGUAACGGUGGAAUGUGUAGAUA
RNAcentral lists this ribosomal RNA (526 nucleotides) under Bifidobacterium breve. RNAcentral's name for it is "bacterial SSU rRNA". It matches the Rfam family "Bacterial small subunit ribosomal RNA", at positions 160 to 696 of the family's 1533-position model. Lineage: Bacteria; Bacillati; Actinomycetota; Actinomycetes; Bifidobacteriales; Bifidobacteriaceae. The record is from RNAcentral.